UGACAACUAGCGGCAACGGACGCCGCUCCACUACUUGCAACAGGCCCUACGUGGUGGGCUAUGACGAUAGCCAUGGGUCUACCCCACUAUCUUUCACAAUCAAUUCCCCUGACCAUGGGUGGCCCACUACCAGGCGGUUACAAACGUCGCCAUCAAUCCGUUGCCUCCUCCGCUUAUAAAAGGGGGACCCAGAUACGUUAUUCUUUAAGCCCAUUUUUUCUUAUCUCAAAACUCUGCUAAAUUCUCCGCUCGAGCACUCCAUUCUUGUUGAGGCAGAAAACUGACUUGAGCGUCGGAGGGUCUUGCCGGAGCAACCCCACCUCCGGUUUAGACUUCCCUUGCAAGUCCCGACGGCGACCGCGGCUUCCCCGACUCCAGCUUCUCCGGUGCAAGCGGAUUUUUGCACCAACAAUUCCCUUGACCAAAAUGAUCAUAGGACACCUCAGAGUUCAACUGUCAACUCUGAUCAGGUUGUCUACAUUGAAGUAAAAUUUGGGUGCAGGGGUAAAACGAUAAUUUUAAAACU
This 526-nucleotide long non-coding RNA is filed under the name Elaeis guineensis (African oil palm). RNAcentral describes it as "long non-coding RNA (EGUI_LNC052948)". The record is from RNAcentral. Lineage: Eukaryota; Viridiplantae; Streptophyta; Magnoliopsida; Arecales; Arecaceae.